UACUGACUCGCAAGCCCAACCAAACCAAAAACAACAAAACACAAUAACUAAACCCAAAGACACAAAUUGUCUCCACGAACAAAUCAUUUUUCCCCUUUAGUAUGGGCGACAGAAAAAGAACAUGGAGCGAUAGAGAAAGUACCGCAAGGGAA
RNAcentral lists this ribosomal RNA (152 nucleotides) under Epinephelus areolatus (areolate grouper). RNAcentral's name for it is "partial 16S ribosomal RNA". The record is from RNAcentral. Lineage: Eukaryota; Metazoa; Chordata; Actinopteri; Perciformes; Serranidae.